Molecule: long non-coding RNA, 1624 nt
Organism: Lingula anatina
Lineage: Eukaryota; Metazoa; Brachiopoda; Lingulata; Lingulida; Lingulidae
Source: RefSeq, a predicted model, not a curated record
UAGACGAAGACGCAUGGAUAUGUGUGGUGUGAUGGUAAGGUCAAGCUUUUAUCGCUAUCCUAACAGAAGUUUUGCCAAAUGUAGAAACAAAUACAAGUCUUGUGAGACUUGGACCUGAGGCACAAGGUGUUGUUGGCUUAAGAUGAAGAUCUUCUUGUAAGAUAGAAGCCCACCAAGAUACCGCUCAACAUAGGACUGCAAGCAACCUAAGAUAUUGUUGGCAUUCAGGAACUCUACAUUCCUAUUUGGAUUUAUUAUAUUAAAAUCUAAAAAUAUAUCUUCUGUGUUUUUAUAUACAGACACUGUAAGUGUCUGUAUAUAAUCUGAUGGGUCUGUCUGUCCAUGUCAUGGCCUUCGCUGACCAAUACAUGACGUUUGCCCCAUAACUGCCAAACUGUUUUUCUUUUUUUUUUUUUUUUUUUGUUUUGUUUUGUUUUACUGUAAAUUUAUUGAGUGGCUUUGUUUGGUACAGAUGCAGGUUGCUUUCGAAAAGCAACAUGAUGGGUUUACAAUUAUAGAAAUAAUUCUUUUUCACAAUUUUUGUGACAUUAGCCCCUUCAUCAGUACCACCAGUGUGUAUGCUGGUAGUAUUCUUGGUUUUAGUUCGGCCUGUCUUGUACACUCGAUCAGCAGUCAGCCGCCAGAAACAAGUCACCAUUACCACUUCUCCUCCUAGACUGCAAGGGCCUGUGUCCCCAUCUCUGGGAUUUAGGUCUAAGGUCACAUAUAAUCUCAACUUGAACCCCCUGUUUUUUGUCUGUUUGUUUAUUGGCCUAGGCAUGAUGCUUGUUGAAACACACCCUUGUCAAAAUUUUGAAAAUUAAAUGCUAAAUAUCUCCUAAAAUGAAGGAAUUAUGGGAAAGGUUACUAUAUAAGUCUGACUGAAAGUCUUAUGUGGAGUUUCCAAAUAUGCCCUUUGGUUUGACCUUUGACCUUUAUUUCAAGUUUAAAUGAGCCAAAAUUUCUUUAGUUUAAAAUGGAGAUUUUCUACAAAAAUAUUUGUUUGUGCCAAUUUUCAGGAACUACACAGACCUAAGCUCUCAUAUUUAAAUGAGGGGUUACAUUUAGGGACUCCUUUCAUCUUCGUGAGUUUGGGAGUCAAUCAGUGCCCUUUCAAAGGAGAAGCAGCCAUUAGAUUCUGAAACUAAAAACUUUCUAAUUCUGGAACUGUAAAUGCUACAGACCCCUUGAUUUUUGCAUUUUGUAGAGCAAAAGAACUGUUGCAAUAUUCAGUAGUGAGCUGAUCGAAAUGUGAAAUACUCCCAAAAUUAGCAGAGAUAAGCCCAUAGUUACUAUUGAACUUGAAUAGGAAGUCAUAUACUGGCAAUCUAAUUGUGACCAUAAAUUUGACCUUUGAUUUACUUGUCACCAUGAUCUUUGCAAAAUCUCCCUUCCUGAUUUCUCCAAAGGAAUUCGUACAUUUACAAUCUUCCUGUGACCUUGAAAUUAAUCUUUAACCUACUUUCCACCAUGUACCACACCUGGCAAAUUUCCAGGUUCUUACAUUUAUUGUUGAACUUGGAUGGAAAGUCCUUUAUUUACAAUCUAACUUCAACCUUGGAUUUGACCUUUCACUUUUCCCCAAAUUGUAAUUUUUUGCAAAAAAAAAAAAGGAGUUGUUCAC